GCCGAAGUGGCGGAAUUGGCAGACGCGCCAGAUUCAGGUUCUGGUGAGGUAACACUCGUGGAGGUUCGAGUCCUCUCUUCGGCA
RNAcentral lists this transfer RNA (84 nucleotides) under bacterium. RNAcentral describes it as "tRNA-Leu". It matches the Rfam family "tRNA". Rfam says of the family: Transfer RNA (tRNA) molecules are approximately 80 nucleotides in length. Their secondary structure includes four short double-helical elements and three loops (D, anti-codon, and T loops). The record is from RNAcentral.